This 2907-nucleotide ribosomal RNA is filed under the name Yersinia enterocolitica. RNAcentral's name for it is "23S ribosomal RNA". It matches the Rfam family "Bacterial large subunit ribosomal RNA". The record is from RNAcentral. Lineage: Bacteria; Pseudomonadati; Pseudomonadota; Gammaproteobacteria; Enterobacterales; Yersiniaceae.
GGUUAAGCGACUAAGCGUACACGGUGGAUGCCUAGGCAGUCAGAGGCGAUGAAGGGCGUGCUAAUCUGCGAAAAGCGUCGGUAAGGUGAUAUGAACCGUUACAACCGACGAUACCCGAAUGGGGAAACCCAGUGCAAUUCGUUGCACUAUUGCAUGGUGAAUACAUAGCCAUGCAAGGCGAACCGGGGGAACUGAAACAUCUAAGUACCCCGAGGAAAAGAAAUCAACCGAGAUUCCCCCAGUAGCGGCGAGCGAACGGGGAGGAGCCCAGAACCUGAAUCAGCAUAUGUGUUAGUGGAAGCGUCUGGAAAGUCGCACGGUACAGGGUGAUAGUCCCGUACACAAAAAUGCAUAUGUUGUGAGUUCGAUGAGUAGGGCGGGACACGUGACAUCCUGUCUGAAUAUGGGGGGACCAUCCUCCAAGGCUAAAUACUCCUGACUGACCGAUAGUGAACCAGUACCGUGAGGGAAAGGCGAAAAGAACCCCGGCGAGGGGAGUGAAAUAGAACCUGAAACCGUGUACGUACAAGCAGUGGGAGCACCUUCGUGGUGUGACUGCGUACCUUUUGUAUAAUGGGUCAGCGACUUAUAUUUUGUAGCAAGGUUAACCGAAUAGGGGAGCCGUAGGGAAACCGAGUCUUAACUGGGCGAAUAGUUGCAAGGUAUAGACCCGAAACCCGGUGAUCUAGCCAUGGGCAGGUUGAAGGUUGGGUAACACUAACUGGAGGACCGAACCGACUAAUGUUGAAAAAUUAGCGGAUGACUUGUGGCUGGGGGUGAAAGGCCAAUCAAACCGGGAGAUAGCUGGUUCUCCCCGAAAGCUAUUUAGGUAGCGCCUCGUGAACUCAUCUUCGGGGGUAGAGCACUGUUUCGGCUAGGGGGUCAUCCCGACUUACCAAACCGAUGCAAACUCCGAAUACCGAAGAAUGUUAUCACGGGAGACACACGGCGGGUGCUAACGUCCGUCGUGAAGAGGGAAACAACCCAGACCGCCAGCUAAGGUCCCAAAGUCAUGGUUAAGUGGGAAACGAUGUGGGAAGGCAUAGACAGCCAGGAUGUUGGCUUAGAAGCAGCCAUCAUUUAAAGAAAGCGUAAUAGCUCACUGGUCGAGUCGGCCUGCGCGGAAGAUGUAACGGGGCUAAACCAUGCACCGAAGCUGCGGCAGCGACGCUUAGGCGUUGUUGGGUAGGGGAGCGUUCUGUAAGCCGUUGAAGGUGACCUGUGAGGGUUGCUGGAGGUAUCAGAAGUGCGAAUGCUGACAUAAGUAACGAUAAUGCGGGUGAAAAACCCGCACGCCGGAAGACCAAGGGUUCCUGUCCAACGUUAAUCGGGGCAGGGUGAGUCGACCCCUAAGGCGAGGCUGAAAAGCGUAGUCGAUGGGAAACAGGUUAAUAUUCCUGUACUUGGUGUUACUGCGAAGGGGGGACGGAGAAGGCUAGGCUAGCCGGGCGACGGUUGUCCCGGUUUAAGCAUGUAGGCGGAGUGACUUGGUAAAUCCGGUUGCUUAUCAACGCUGAGGUGUGAUGACGAGCCACUACGGUGGUGAAGUAGUUGAUGCCAAGCUUCCAGGAAAAGCCUCUAAGCAUCAGGUAACAUUAAAUCGUACCCCAAACCGACACAGGUGGUCAGGUAGAGAAUACUCAGGCGCUUGAGAGAACUCGGGUGAAGGAACUAGGCAAAAUGGUGCCGUAACUUCGGGAGAAGGCACGCUGGCAUUAGGUAAAGAGACUUGCUCUCGGCGCCGAAGCCAGUCGCAGAUACCAGCUGGCUGCAACUGUUUAAUAAAAACACAGCACUGUGCAAACACGAAAGUGGACGUAUACGGUGUGACGCCUGCCCGGUGCUGGAAGGUUAAUUGAUGGGGUCAGCCGCAAGGCGAAGCUCUUGAUCGAAGCCCCAGUAAACGGCGGCCGUAACUAUAACGGUCCUAAGGUAGCGAAAUUCCUUGUCGGGUAAGUUCCGACCUGCACGAAUGGCGUAAUGAUGGCCAGGCUGUCUCCACCCGAGACUCAGUGAAAUUGAACUCGCUGUGAAGAUGCAGUGUACCCGCGGCAAGACGGAAAGACCCCGUGAACCUUUACUAUAGCUUGACACUGAACAUUGAGCCUUGAUGUGUAGGAUAGGUGGGAGGCAUUGAAGUGUGGACGCCAGUCUGCAUGGAGCCAACCUUGAAAUACCACCCUUUAAUGUUUGAUGUUCUAACUCGGCCCCAUAAUCUGGGGUGAGGACAGUGUCUGGUGGGUAGUUUGACUGGGGCGGUCUCCUCCCAAAGAGUAACGGAGGAGCACGAAGGUUAGCUAAUCACGGUCGGACAUCGUGAGGUUAGUGCAAAGGCAUAAGCUAGCUUGACUGCGAGAGUGACGGCUCGAGCAGGUACGAAAGUAGGUCUUAGUGAUCCGGUGGUUCUGAAUGGAAGGGCCAUCGCUCAACGGAUAAAAGGUACUCCGGGGAUAACAGGCUGAUACCGCCCAAGAGUUCAUAUCGACGGCGGUGUUUGGCACCUCGAUGUCGGCUCAUCACAUCCUGGGGCUGAAGUAGGUCCCAAGGGUAUGGCUGUUCGCCAUUUAAAGUGGUACGCGAGCUGGGUUUAGAACGUCGUGAGACAGUUCGGUCCCUAUCUGCCGUGGGCGUUGGAAGAUUGAGAGGGGCUGCUCCUAGUACGAGAGGACCGGAGUGGACGAAUCACUGGUGUUCGGGUUGUCAUGCCAAUGGCAUUGCCCGGUAGCUAAAUUCGGAAGAGAUAACCGCUGAAAGCAUCUAAGCGGGAAACUUGCCUCGAGAUGAGUCUUCCCUGGGGCUUUAAGCCCCCUGAAGGAACGUUAAAGACUAUGACGUUGAUAGGCUGGGUGUGUAAGUGCAGCGAUGCAUUGAGCUAACCAGUACUAAUGAUCCGUGAGGCUUAACCUU